GCCUUCGGGGUGUAGUGGUCAGCACGCUCGACGCGUAACCGAGAGGUCCGUGGUUCGAUUCCCGGCGAUGGCG
This 73-nucleotide transfer RNA is filed under the name Stegodyphus mimosarum. It matches the Rfam family "tRNA". From Rfam's summary of the family: Transfer RNA (tRNA) molecules are approximately 80 nucleotides in length. Their secondary structure includes four short double-helical elements and three loops (D, anti-codon, and T loops). The record is from Rfam by way of RNAcentral. Lineage: Eukaryota; Metazoa; Arthropoda; Arachnida; Araneae; Eresidae.